This 75-nucleotide transfer RNA is filed under the name Acidobacteriota bacterium. Its description in RNAcentral is "Acidobacteria bacterium (activated sludge metagenome) tRNA-Leu". It matches the Rfam family "tRNA". Rfam says of the family: Transfer RNA (tRNA) molecules are approximately 80 nucleotides in length. Their secondary structure includes four short double-helical elements and three loops (D, anti-codon, and T loops). Lineage: Bacteria; Pseudomonadati; Acidobacteriota. The record is from RNAcentral. RNAcentral also lists the same sequence under 1 other name.
GCGGAAGUGGUGUAACUUGGCAAACGCGCUAGACUUAGAAUCUAGUUUCUGUGGGUUCAAAUCCCACCUUCCGUA